GAUGAACGCUGGCGGCGUGCCUAAUACAUGCAAGUCGAGCGAACAGAUGAGGAGCUUGCUCCUCUGACGUUAGCGGCGGACGGGUGAGUAACACGUGGAUAACCUACCUAUAAGACUGGGAUAACUUCGGGAAACCGGAGCUAAUACCGGAUAAUAUAUUGAACCGCAUGGUUCAAUAGUGAAAGACGGUUUUGCUGUCACUUAUAGAUGGAUCUGCGCCGCAUUAGCUAGUUGGUAAGGGAACGGCUUACCAAGGCAACGAUGCGUAGCCGACCUGAGAGGGUGAUCGGCCACACUGGAACUGAGACACGGUCCAGACUCCUACGGGAGGCAGCAGUAGGGAAUCUUCCGCAAUGGGCGAAAGCCUGACGGAGCAACGCCGCGUGAGUGAUGAAGGUCUUCGGAUCGUAAAACUCUGUUAUUAGGGAAGAACAAAUGUGUAAGUAACUAUGCACGUCUUGACGGUACCUAAUCAGAAAGCCACGGCUAACUACGUG
RNAcentral lists this ribosomal RNA (497 nucleotides) under uncultured bacterium. RNAcentral describes it as "partial 16S ribosomal RNA". It matches the Rfam family "Bacterial small subunit ribosomal RNA", at positions 28 to 507 of the family's 1533-position model. The record is from RNAcentral.